RNAcentral lists this long non-coding RNA (7686 nucleotides) under Lactuca sativa (garden lettuce). RNAcentral's name for it is "long non-coding RNA (LSAT_LNC001546)". The record is from RNAcentral. Lineage: Eukaryota; Viridiplantae; Streptophyta; Magnoliopsida; Asterales; Asteraceae.
GUAUUUCCUGUUGGAAUAGUGUCUAAGACUAAAACUAUAUUAGGCAAGUAUUUGACCCGGUUGUGCAUGGUCCUUUUGGGUUGCCUUCACCAUAGCAACUUGAUAGGAUGAUUUAUUAAGAGAGAGUAAAUAUUAUUAAUAUAUUAUGAGAAUAAUAUAUUGUUAUUUGAUUAAUAUAAGUCAUAGAAUUAAUUGGAAUUAAUUUGGUGGCUUAAAGAGAUUAAUUAAAUAAGAGGGUAUAAACUGUCAAUUGUUUGAUAGUUAAACUUUAGACUGUAAAUCCAUAAUUGAUAGGGGUGGAAGGAUUCUAGAAGCUAUGGAUAGCUUUAAAUCGUCCAAGGCUAUCUAAGGAAUGGAUUUGGAUAGCUUUAAGAGAAGAUUAUCCAAUUAGGGUUUAGGUUGUAACCCUUAAGGAGUCUACAAGUAUAAAUAGACCCUAUGGCAAAGGGAAAUCGGUACUUCAUCAAAAGUAGAGAACCCCUGGCCGAAUUCCUCCCCUCUCCUCUCUCUCAAAUCAUCCUCCUUGCUAUUUGGUGUUUGUAAGCCAUUAGAGGAGUGACAAUUGUGACUCUAGAAGCUCCAAGACAACAAGAUCAACAAGGAAUUCAAAGGUAUGAUUCUAGAUCUGUUUCAAUAUUGUUAUUACACCUAAAUAGUCAUUAGAAGUCUUGGAUUCAAAGCAUGUUUAAUUAGAAAGCCUAGAUCCAAGCAUUAGGGUUUUGCAUGCGCACAUAGGAAAGUUCUUAUGGCUAAAACCCAUUAGUGGUAUCAGAGAUUGGUUUGGUUUCUGUUAAAUUGUUGCUUAAUUGGUCGAAAUUUAACUGCAAAAUUCGAUUUUUAUGUUUCUGAGUCAUGGACUCGGCGAGUUCCAAAGUGGACUCGGCGAGUUGGCCUGACUCGGCGAGUUCCUUUUGUGCACUCAGCGAGUCCAAGCGUCAGGAUGGCCAGAUUCGGGAUUUCUUCAUGAUUAUCUUAUGGAAACUUACCUUAAUCAUAUUAGAUCAACCCUAAUCCGAUUUUUUGAUAUAUAUGACUAUAAUCUUGAUCUAAUUAAAGAUAUUUAUCAACUAAUAAAAUAUUUAAUUUCCUUAUAUGAUAAUUAAUUAAUUAUUUUGAUUAUUUUGGUAAUUAUCUUGAAAGAAAUCUUGAAUAAAUCAAAUAUAGAUAAUUAGGAAAUUAAUUGUUAAUUGAAAUUAUUUGUUAUUUGAUCCUCCAUGUUUUAAAUGUUUAAAACUUGUCCUCAAGUUUUGAAAUUUAUAUUUUGUGAUUAAAAGUUUUAAUUUAGACAAUUUAAAUUUCAAACCCUAGAUUUUAAAAGGUUUAAAAUACAACCCUAUACUAAUAUAAUAUUACAAGAUUAAUAUAUAUAUAUAUAUAUAUAUAUAUAUAUAUAUAUAUAUGUAUAUGUAUAACUAAAAUGCUAGUCUUACCGUUAGUAGGCCUCAUUCACGAAGCCGAUCUAUAAGGUGGGUAUAAGGUUGCGGCCUAUAAAAUGGCGCUUAAUGGGUGUACACUCACACCCACCGCUUGCUUGAUCGGUGGAGGGUCGUUAGCCGAACGGGUAGGAUAGGGCAACCUCAUCCUCUCAUUAAAAGUAUAAUAAGAAAUACAAAGUAACUACACAUAUUUUAAAAUUUCCCAAUCUUAGUUACUUUAGGAAAAGUGAAUUGAUGCAAUCCCAUGAAAUUACACUUUGCACCUUGCUAAGAAGUUAGUGGAGCGUGUGUGGUUUACCGGCACACUAAUUGGUUCUAAGCAAAGGUGGCAAAGGGUGAUUCAUUGUUUAUCAUAGUUCGAUGGAGCGUGUGUGGUUUACCGGCACAUCGAAUAGGUGAUCGUUACAAUGAAGGCACCAUGUGAAUUUGCAUGGUAAUUCACACCCGCUUUGUGAUCCUCGGUAUCCCAGUCACAAACAAGAGGGGCAUAUCGAGAUUUAAACAUGCCAUUGAAUAGUUUCAAUGAAUCUCAUCCGAACCUAGGAAUUCUCAAUACAUUUAGGACUUAUAGUUAGGUUUUUAUGGUGGAGAAUUAGUGAAUCGUCAUUCACUUACCUUCAAUUUAUUUGCAUGUUAGAUUACGGCAUCCCUUUUCUAGUAUGUAAAUGUUAUUGUUGGAUCCUAGCCCUAAUUUUCUUAUUGGGUGAUAAUUAGGGAUUCUUAUUCUAAUCUAUCUUUGUCCUUUUCUAAUUGUAGAUGUCGAACGCAAACAACGCUGCUGCUAGUUCUUUCACGUUGAUGAGCCUUUGCCAAAAGGUCACCUUCGAUGGAACGAACUUUAGCGAAUGGAUAAGAUACAUUCGCACCAUUGCUCGCUAUGAGGAUAAGGAGUAUGUCCUCGAUGAGAAGCUCGAGAAAAUCAACCCUGAAAUCGCUACUCCGGCUGAAAUGACCGCUUUUGAAACUCAUGAGCGCGAUGCAACGAAGGUACAUUGCAUCAUGAUAGCCACCAUGAACUCCGAAUUCCAAAAGUCCUAUGAGGACAUGUACCCGUACGAGAUGCAUCAAGACUUAUUGGAGAGAUACCACCAAAACGCGAGACAAGAGAGGUACGAGAUUUUCACUAACAUGAUUUCCGCGAAGAUGGGUCAUGGAGAAUCUCUUACCGUGCACUUGCAAAAGAUGCAAAGGUAUGUCGACCGCCUUCGCAAGUUAAAUGUUGACUUCGGUGAGGAUUUGGCGAUCGACAUGGUGCUUCACUCUUUGCCUCCGAUGUACAAUCAAUUUAGGAUGACCUACCACAUGAACAAAGAAGAGGUCACCCUAAGCAAGCUCCAAGGUCUCUUGAGGGUUGCUGAGAGCAACUUCAAAGACAAGUCUGUUGCACCAACUCCCAAUCCGCCCGCUGCUCCUGUCUUGGCUAUUGGACAAGGGAAGGGAAAGAAGAGGAAAGCUUCAUCGAAGAACUAUCGCAAGGUGAAAGCCCGAGAUGGUGCCUCUUCUAGUGGGACCAAAGUUGAUCCCGCCAAGCCCUGCUCUAACCCGAAGGAGGCAGAGUGCCACCACUGCCACAAGAUAGGACAUUGGAAGAGAAGCUGCCCGGAUUACCUGCAAGCAAUCAAAGAAGGAAAGAUCAAGCCAUCUUUCGCAGGUAUAUAUACAAUCAAAUCUAACGAUUCUAAUCAUGCUAUUUCUUGGGUUCUUGAUACCGGUUGUGGUUAUCACAUUUGUUCUAAUGUGCAGGGACUAAGAAGAAGUAGGGAUGUGGAGCAAGGAAGGAUCAAUCUAAUCAUGGGGAACAGAAGAUCGUCGCCUGUGACCAAGAUUGGAGUGUAUUCUUUAGUGCUUAGGAAUAGUUUAGUUUUAGAUUUGAACAAUUGUUGCUAUUCGCCAGAAAUGGCAAGAAACAUCAUUUCAUUUCAUGGUUUAUAUAGACAAGGAUUUAGAUUUUCUUUUAAUAAUGAGAAUGGUUCUAUUUUGGCUUAUCUAAAUGGUGUCUUUUACUUUGAAGCUAUACCAUGUAAUGGAAUAUAUGAAACCGUUAUGAUUGUUGAUAACUUAGGAAAUGAUGUUUUGAAUAUUGAUUCUUCCACUAGUAUGGAUAAAGCAUCCUUGUGGCAUUGUCGUCUUGGACAUGUCAACAAGAAACGCAUAGCCCAACUCCAAAAGGAUGGAGUGUUGGAGUCAUUCGACCUUAGGGAAGAUGACACAUGCGAGUCUUGUUUGCUUGGAAAGAUGACUAAGUCACCCUUCACGAGUACAUGUGAAAGGGGCGAGGGUCUAUUGGACCUAAUACAUACCGAUGUAUGUGGACCGUUUAGAUCAACCACGAAGGAUGGGAACCGCUUCUAUGUGACUUUUACCGAUGACUAUAGUAGAUAUGGGUAUAUCUACUUAAUCAAGCAAAAGUCAGACACCUUUGAAAAGUUCAAAGAGUUCAAGAAUGAAGUGGAGAAUCAAUUGGGCAGGAAAAUCAAGAUGCUUCGAUCCGAUCGAGGAGGAGAGUACCUAAGUCUUGAAUUCCACGAUUAUCUCAAGGAGUGUGGAAUAGUUUCACAAUUGACGCCUCCUAGGACACCGCAGUUGAAUGGUGUGGCAGAAAGGCGUAAUCGAACCUUAUUGGAUAUGGUUCGCUCUAUGAUGAGUCGUGCUUCACUACCAAUCUCUUUUUGGGGGUAUGCCUUAGAGACUGCCGCCCAUAUCCUUAACCGAGUCCCUACUAAGAAGGUUGCCAAAACACCUCACGAGAUGUGGACAGGGAAAGCUCCCUCGUUGGCACAUAUCAAGGUUUGGGGUUGCGAGGCUUUCGUAAGACGAGAUACUCACGACAAGCUUGAACCUCGAAGUGAGCGAUGUAUUUUCAUCGGCUACCCGCAGACAUCCUUUGGAUAUCUCUUCUAUAGACCGAAGGACAAUGUUGUCUUCGUUGCGAGGAGAGGAGUUUUCCGAGAGCGAGAACUCAUAAGCCAAGGAGACAGUGGGAGGCAAAUCGAACUUGAAGAGAUUCAAGAGUCGAUAGAUGAAGGAACCUCUACCGCUGGCACUCAACCCGAGGAGGAAACUCCGGUUGAACCGAUUGACGAAUCCUUACCUCUUAGACGUUCCGAUAGAGUUAGAGUUCAUCCCCAGUUUUAUGGCUUUCAUAUUACUACCGAAGGGGACACGUAUAUUAGUGAUGGUACACUAGUAAAUCUUGAUGAACCUAAUAGCUAUAAGGAAGCCAUGGCAGGCCCGGAGUCUGCAAAAUGGAAAGAGGCAAUGGAUAGCGAGAUCCAAUCCAUGUAUGAUAACCAAGUUUGGAAUUUGGUUGAUUAUGUGCCCGGACGUAAGACCGUUGGGUGCAAAUGGAUCUUCAAGAAGAAGACCGACGUGGAUGGAAACGUACACACAUAUAAAGCGCGAUUGGUUGCGAAGGGCUUUACUCAAACUCCCGGAGUUGACUAUGAUGAGACCUUCUCACCAGUUGCGAAGAUUAAAUCUAUUAGAGUGAUGCUAGCUAUUGCCGCAUUUCAUGAUUAUGAGAUUUGGCAAAUGGAUGUCAAGACCGCUUUCCUUAACGGAAAGUUGGCUGAGGAUGUUUACAUGGCUCAGCCAGAGGGGUUUGUGGAUCCGAAGCAUCCGGAUAGAGUGUGUAAGCUUGAGAAGUCCAUUUAUGGACUUAAGCAAGCGUCUCGCAGAUGGAAUCUUUGCUUCGAUGAGAAAGUCAAAGAGUUUGGAUUUGUACGAAGCGAAGACGAAUCUUGUGUAUAUGUCAAAGCCAGUGGGAGUAUAGUAAGCUUCCUCGUUCUAUAUGUCGAUGACAUAUUACUCAUAGGAAACGACAUCCCGACUCUGCAGGAGGUUAAGUCCUGGCUCGGGAAGUGCUUCGCUAUGAAGGACCUCGGAGAGGCUUCUUACAUUUUGGGAAUAAGGAUAGUAAGAGAAAGAAGUAAGAGACUAAUUGGACUUAGUCAGAAUACUUACUUAGAGAAGGUACUAAAACGUUUUAGUAUGGAAAACUCAAAGAAGGGAGAACUACCGAUACAAAGUAAUGCCAAAUUGAGUAAGACUCAAAGUCCGAGUACCGAAGCUGAGAUAGCAGAAAUGAGCCGAGUACCAUACGCUUCCGCAGUUGGCUCAAUCAUGUACGCUAUGACUUGUACUCGCCCUGAUGUAGCCUUCGCUUUGAGCAUGGUUAGCAGAUAUCAAGGGAAUCCUGGCAAAGCACAUUGGAUUGCGGUGAAGAAUAUCCUUAAGUACCUUCGGAGGACAAAGGAAUGGUUCUUAGUCCUCGGAGGGAGUGAUGACUUGAAGGUGCGAGGGUAUAGUGACGCCAGUUUUCAGACCGACAGGGACAACUACCGUUCGCAGUCGGGCUGGGUCUUUACCCUAAAUGGAGGAGCAGUGACAUGGAAGAGUUCCAAGCAGGAAACCGUAGCUGAUUCAACGUGCGAAUCAGAGUACAUUGCAGCGAGCGAAGCGUCGAAGGAGGCAAUAUGGCUAAAGAACUUCAUCGGUGAUCUUGGAGUUGUACCUGCCAUAAAGGAGCCAAUGGAGAUUUUCUGUGAUAACGAAGGUGCGGUUGCCUUAACCAAGGAACCGAGGGAUCAUGGUAGAUCAAGACAUAUCGACAGAAAGUAUCACUUCAUUAGACAUCGUGUAGAAGAAGGACAACUCGUAGUGAAGAGGAUAUCAUCAGAAGAUAACCCAGCAGAUCCGCUUACGAAGGGACUGAGUAGGGUUAAGCACUUGCAGCAUGCUAGGAGUAUUGGGCUGAAGGAUGAUAUUAGCAUAGAUUAGAUAGUAUUAGAAACGUGUAAUAGAUAAAUGUAAUUAACAUUUGAUGAUUAAAUAAAGGAGUUUUAUUUAUGAGUAAUGUUACUAUCUUAUGUUAAUUGUUUAGCUAUUGUUUCACUUUGCAUGUUUUGACUUCCAGAAUAAUUGAGUUUAUUAGGAAUAAUCGAAUUGUUCAAAUGGUCCACAAUCGUUCAUAUGUUGGGAGUAGAUAUGAAUGAAGAUUGUCAUGAAUUGGUGUGUAGAAUGUCUAAAUGGUGUUAGACAUAGCAAAGGAUUGCUGCAACGUUCAUGAGUGCUUAUGAACUAGUUUUGAGCAUUGGAAUAAACCCGCGCUUGCUGGAAUCACCUUAUGGAAUACGAUAUAAAAGGUGAUCGCAAGACGAUAAUAUCAUAUAGUCUUAAAACCUAGAUAUAUGGUUUAUUAUUUGUUAAUUGAUUGUACAUUGAUAAUACGAAAACGCAUCAGUAACUUGGUGUUAUAAAACGUAUUGUUGUGUAUAGUUGGUAAAUGAAUAAGUAAAUGCAUAUAAGUCGAAGUUUAUCUGUAACUUUUAUCUAAGAAGGUAAAAGCGAUAUCUCGGCCGCUCGAUGAUUUGAUUUGACUUAUGUGCCGGGCCCGGUCAGAACUGAAUUGAUGUGUUCGAUUAAGUUCUAUGUCAAAUAAAUCAGAGAUCGAGAAACCUAAAUGCUUGACUAACCAUUCCAUAGGAUUGUCAGCAUGAUAUCUAACAGAGGACUGUACGUUCCCUUAUCUAAAGGACAAGAUUGAUUAGAUCAGAGUUGACAGCGUCUUUGAGAGCUACGAUUGCAAACCGAAUUGUACUUGUAUAGUUACUAGACUUAUCCAAGUGGGAGACUGUUGGAAUAGUGUCUAAGGCUGUAACUAUAUUAGGCAAGUAUUUGAUCCGGUUGUGCAUGGUCCUUUUGGGUUGCCUUCACCAUAGCAACUUGAUAGGAUGAUUUAUUAAGAGAGAGUAAAUAUUAUUAAUAUAUUAUGAGAAUAAUAUAAAGAAUAAUAUAUUGUUAUUUGAUUAAUAUAAGUCAUUGAAUUAAUUGGAAUUAAUUUGGCGACUUAAAGAGAUUAAUUAAAUAAGAGGGUAUAAACUGUCAAUUGUUUGAUAGUUAAGCUUUAGACUGUAAAUCCAUUUGGAUAUGGUAUGGACGAAUUCUAAGAGGUUUAGGAUAGCUAAAAUCGUCCAUAUGAUUAUCUUAGGAAUGGAUUUGGAUAGCCUUAAGAGAAGAUUAUCCAAUUAGGGUUUAGGUUGUAACCCUUAAGGAGUCUACAAGUAUAAAUAGACCCUAUUGCAAAGGGAAAUCAGUACUUCAACAAAAGUAGAGAAGCCCUGGCCGAAUUCCUCCCCUCUCCUCUCUCCCAAAUCAUCCUCCUUGCUAUUUGGUGUUUGUAAGCCAUUAGAGGAGUGACAUUUGUGACUCUAGAAGCUCCAAGACAACAAGAUCAACAAGGAAUUCAAAG